Molecule: small RNA, 79 nt
Filed under: Flavobacterium segetis
Lineage: Bacteria; Pseudomonadati; Bacteroidota; Flavobacteriia; Flavobacteriales; Flavobacteriaceae
Description: Flavo-1 RNA
Rfam family: Flavo-1 RNA
Source: RNAcentral
CCGUAGCCCAGAUAGCAGAGGAAAUCCUUUUAUUUUUUUUUAAAAAAAUAAAAGAUUGUAGCGAAUAGCUGGAAAUAGC